RNAcentral lists this ribosomal RNA (525 nucleotides) under Staphylococcus sp. HMSC068D05. RNAcentral describes it as "bacterial SSU rRNA". It matches the Rfam family "Bacterial small subunit ribosomal RNA", at positions 1014 to 1533 of the family's 1533-position model. Lineage: Bacteria; Bacillati; Bacillota; Bacilli; Caryophanales; Staphylococcaceae. The record is from RNAcentral.
CCCCUUCGGGGGACAAAGUGACAGGUGGUGCAUGGUUGUCGUCAGCUCGUGUCGUGAGAUGUUGGGUUAAGUCCCGCAACGAGCGCAACCCUUAAGCUUAGUUGCCAUCAUUUAGUUGGGCACUCUAAGUUGACUGCCGGUGACAAACCGGAGGAAGGUGGGGAUGACGUCAAAUCAUCAUGCCCCUUAUGAUUUGGGCUACACACGUGCUACAAUGGACAAUACAAAGGGCAGCGAAACCGCGAGGUCAAGCAAAUCCCAUAAAGUUGUUCUCAGUUCGGAUUGUAGUCUGCAACUCGACUACAUGAAGCUGGAAUCGCUAGUAAUCGUAGAUCAGCAUGCUACGGUGAAUACGUUCCCGGGUCUUGUACACACCGCCCGUCACACCACGAGAGUUUGUAACACCCGAAGCCGGUGGAGUAACCAUUUGGAGCUAGCCGUCGAAGGUGGGACAAAUGAUUGGGGUGAAGUCGUAACAAGGUAGCCGUAUCGGAAGGUGCGGCUGGAUCACCUCCUUUCUAAGGA